CAAUAGCGUAUAUUAAAGUUGUUGCAGUUAAAAAGCUCGUAGUUGGAUUUCUGGUAGGAGUGACCGUUCCGAACUUGAUUGUUCGUGUAUUGUGUUUUCUCUAGCCAUCCUUGUGGAGAACUUUUCUUGCAUUAAUUUGUAGGGAUUGGGACCCGCAUCGUUUACUGUGAAAAAAUUAGAGUGUUUAAAGCAGGCAAUCGCUUGAAUACAUUAGCAUGGAAUAAUAAGAUAGGACUUUGGUACUAUUUUGUUGGUUUGCAUACCAAAUUAAUGAUCAACAGGAACAGUUUGAGGAUAUUCGUAUGAACAUGUCAGAGGUGAAAUUCUUGGAUUUUGAUCAGACGAACUACUGCGAAAGCAUUUAUCAAGGAUGUUUUCAUUAA
RNAcentral lists this ribosomal RNA (383 nucleotides) under uncultured eukaryote. Its description in RNAcentral is "partial 18S ribosomal RNA". It matches the Rfam family "Eukaryotic small subunit ribosomal RNA", at positions 592 to 976 of the family's 1831-position model. The record is from RNAcentral.